AUGAUAUUAGUAUAAUAAGUACAUUUAUCUUCCAAAUAAAAAGUCUAUUUUAGAUAUCAUA
RNAcentral lists this transfer RNA (61 nucleotides) under Barbronia weberi. RNAcentral's name for it is "tRNA-Gly". Lineage: Eukaryota; Metazoa; Annelida; Clitellata; Hirudinida; Salifidae. The record is from RNAcentral.